AGUGAACGCUGGCGGUAUGCCUAACACAUGCAAGUCGAACGGCAACACAGUGAAAGCUUGCUCUUACUGGUGGCGAGGUGCGUACUGGUUAGGAAUACAUCCGAAUCUGCUGUUUCGUUGGUCGUAACGUAAGGAAACUUCGGCUAAUACCUCAUACUACAUGCGGGUUACCGCAAGGGAUCUUCCGACCUUACCCGCUUGAGUGAGCCGAUGUCGGAUUAGCUAGUUGGUGGGGUAAAGGCCCACCAAGGCAACGAUCUGUAGCUGGUCUGAGAGGACGACCAGCCACACUGGAACUGAGACACGGCCCAGACUCCUACGGGAGGCAGCAGUGGGGAAUUUUGGACAAUGGGCGCAAGCCUGAUCCAGCAAUGCCGCGUGCAGGAAGAAGGCCUUCGGGUUGUAAACUGCUUUUGUACGGAACGAAACGGCUCUGGUUAAUACCCGGGGCUAAUGACGGUACCGUAAGAAUAAGCACCGGCUAACUACGUG
Molecule: ribosomal RNA, 492 nt
Filed under: uncultured bacterium
Lineage: Bacteria
Description: partial 16S ribosomal RNA
Rfam family: Bacterial small subunit ribosomal RNA
Source: RNAcentral